This 253-nucleotide ribosomal RNA is filed under the name uncultured bacterium. RNAcentral describes it as "partial 16S ribosomal RNA". It matches the Rfam family "Bacterial small subunit ribosomal RNA", at positions 524 to 776 of the family's 1533-position model. The record is from RNAcentral.
UACGUAGGGACCGCGCGUUGUCCGGAAUCAUUGGGCGUAAAGAGCGUGUAGGCGGCCUUUUAAGUCCUGCGUGAAAUCCUGCGGCUCAACCGCAGACGGUCGUGGGAAACUGGAAGGCUAGAGUGCGGGAGAGGAGAGUGGAAUUCCCGGUGUAGCGGUGAAAUGCGCAGAUAUCGGGAAGAACACCCGUGGCGAAGGCGGCUCUCUGGAACGCAACUGACGCUGAGACGCGAAAGCGUGGGGAGCAAACAGG